Long non-coding RNA from Panicum hallii, 1502 nucleotides. RefSeq lists it as uncharacterized. Lineage: Eukaryota; Viridiplantae; Streptophyta; Magnoliopsida; Poales; Poaceae. The transcript has 2 exons. The record is from RefSeq and is a predicted model, not a curated record.
CCCCCGUCCGUCGUGCGCUCCGAGAGUGAGAGGUGCGCGGCCCGCAGCGAAGCCGGAGGCACACGACCAGGGCACGAGGCACCUGGCGCUCGCUCGGUCCGGAGGCCGAGAGAGCGCGGGCGUGGCCAAAGGAAGGGCGCUUACCCUCCUCGUCGCUGACCUCUGCACCUCCCUUCCCUUGUUGCCUGCGACUGGUAUCCGCCUGCCGCCGCUCGCGAAGGAGCAGCAGUGUCCACGCUGGCGCCAUUUAAAUGCACACAUGAUGAAACAGGCGAGCAGCGCCAACCCUUCGCAGCUCCCCGCGGGCCCCUGUGCGCUCUCCAGCUCCGCCGAGCGCGCCAGGAAGCGCCCUGGCAGGUGCAACGGCCAUUGGGAGAUGCCCGAUAGCUGCUCGACAAAAUGCCUCCAAGGCAAGCUACUCACUGAACCAACGCUGGAUCCAGACGUCCUCUGCCUAGGAACAAGGCUGUUCAUAUGUGCAUAUGCAUGUGUGGGCACGCGUGAUGGAGAAGCUGGCUAUACAGAGCAUGGUGGUUGGGUACAGCGUGAAUGCGUGAUGCCACCAUCAGCGGCCAGACCUCACCAGGAAGCUGUGGCUCAUCCUUGCCGUUUGUGCUCGUGGACCUAUAGGCGCAACGGCUACUGCAGUCUGUUAUUUUGCAAGCUCUUGCCCCCAUCAAAGACAUCUUGCUUGCACAACUUAGGCAAAGCUGAGAGCCUGAGAUAUGCUUUACAUGUAUUUGAUGAAAUGCACAAGCUUAAACCAGCGUACUCGGAAUCAUAGAUAUGGCUGAUGAAUGCAACAUACAAGCUAUGGAUAAUGGUAAGUACAAACAAAUUAUUACUUGUUUUUCUAGCCCUUCUCCAUAUGACUGCAACCGUUAUAGAAAAUCAUGCCCAAGACAUUUUCUUUAAGCAUAAUGAGCAUAGUUUGGAUUCGAAUUGUUUUAAGUUGUAGUAUCCAAAAGGGAAUAUAUGGUACUGUAAUCUUGAACUUCAUCUCUGGCCAGUUUAUUCAACUAAGCAAAAUGGUAAGUACAAUUCACUAAGAUUUAGUUUAGUUCAAGUAUACUGUAUUCACCUUGAGCUCUGUAACUUGAGUACUAACCUUUUGUAUCACACCUUGUAGGAGAGAAAUAAUUCUAUAAAUUCUGCUUUUCAGAAAAAAAUAUAUAAUUUGAACUUUCGACUCCUCCUGGUUGGAUCUUGCAUCAGGGAUGGCUUCUUAGACCAAAUUUGUGAACAGGGAUGGCUCCUUAGACCAAAGUUGUGAAGGCAGCUAAGCCUGUGCUAGAGUUGCAUAAACAAGACAAGACAAGAGGAUAGUCCACAUAAAUUGCUGCAGCUGCAUUUUAAAUGGCAUUUGCAGCAUCUGUGGUAGGGCAUGCUUGUGAUGUUCCUUAUGACAAGUGCAAAAUUUUAUAUUGAGAGCCCAAUCAGGAAGAAAGAAUAGUAUGUUCAGAGUUAUAUCUAAAGCUGCAUGGAAAUUCUUCUCCUGGAUC